CUCGGGCCUUGUACACACCGCCCGUCACACCACGAAAGUCGGCAAUACCCGAAGCCGGUGGCCUAACCCGCAAGGGAGGGAGCCGUCGAAGGUAGGGUCGAUGAUUGGGGUG
This 112-nucleotide ribosomal RNA is filed under the name uncultured bacterium. RNAcentral describes it as "partial 16S ribosomal RNA". It matches the Rfam family "Bacterial small subunit ribosomal RNA", at positions 1373 to 1482 of the family's 1533-position model. The record is from RNAcentral.